This 519-nucleotide ribosomal RNA is filed under the name Coniocarpon fallax. Its description in RNAcentral is "mitochondrial SSU rRNA". It matches the Rfam family "Bacterial small subunit ribosomal RNA", at positions 368 to 759 of the family's 1533-position model. Lineage: Eukaryota; Fungi; Ascomycota; Arthoniomycetes; Arthoniales; Arthoniaceae. The record is from RNAcentral.
UCAAUGGCCUAACGGCUGAACCAGCAACUUGUGAGAAAGGAAAAGCAUUUUGUUUUAAACAAAAUGUAGUUUUUUUGUCAUAGAUAUGACAGCUAUCUCUAGUAAAGCUAAUAGUUUUAUGGAUAGUAAUUAAAUUAAAAGACGGGAUUAGUUUAUCUUUUGGCUAUCCAAAGGGUUAAUUUUAUUUUUUGAAAGCUUCGGCUCUAAGCGAUUUACUCGCAUAAACUUCCAUACAAGAUACAGAUGAUGACUAUUUUUGUAUGACAGUCUUGGCCAAAACACGUGCCAGCAGCCGCGGCAACACGGGAUUAGACGAGUGUUAUUCAUCUUUAAUAGGUUUAAAGGGUACCUAGACGGCAGAUUCAGCCCCCACUGAGUUGGAACGGAACUUUUCUGCUAGAGUUUUAUGUGAGAGGGAUUUAGUACUAACAGAGUAGAGAUGAAAUUUUUUGAUACUGUAGGGCACUGAUAACGGCGAAGGCAGACCUUUAUGUAAAAACUGACGUUGAAGGACGAAGG